UCUGCCCUUAGAGGCAUUGCAGUUGUGGCUGCUUUAUCACAUGUUUGUCAGUAGGUCUCAGAGGAGAGGCUACAUCUACCUCAUUGUUCUGACUUGUGAAGUUUUGAAUGAUUUACGAGUCUAAUAUU
Mastomys coucha (southern multimammate mouse) is the source of this 128-nucleotide small nucleolar RNA. RefSeq annotates it as small nucleolar RNA SNORA17. The record is from RefSeq and is a predicted model, not a curated record. Lineage: Eukaryota; Metazoa; Chordata; Mammalia; Rodentia; Muridae. The transcript has a single exon.